Long non-coding RNA from Passer domesticus (house sparrow), 8351 nucleotides. RefSeq lists it as uncharacterized. The record is from RefSeq and is a predicted model, not a curated record. Lineage: Eukaryota; Metazoa; Chordata; Aves; Passeriformes; Passeridae. The transcript has 10 exons.
CUUGGCCAGGCAGGGCUUCAGUGCCUUCAAGAGCCAUUGCUGACCAGUGCAAGGGAAUAUUUCUCCCCUGCUUCACUCAGCCCCUUCCUGGAGGCUGUGAGUGCUGGUUUGGGCCAGGGAGGCUGACUUGGACCAAGAAAAGAGAUUUGCUGCAUGGAGUAACUCAGGUAUCUUGUCGUCAGCCACAGCCUGAUUUCAGGGAAAACUUCCCCAGAUCUGGCCCAGGCCUGUCCCUUGUAGGUUCCUGGCAGGAGGGACCAAGCCUGACUGGUACCACACGGAGCACCUGGAGCGUAACAAGGGAUAAGUAAUAAUAAUAACUGUCCACUAACCACAUCAAUGUUUUAAGUAUCUCGCGUGCAACAAAAGCUGCUCUGGGUGGCUGGAGCUUUGAAUGUUGUGAUUUGCUCUUUGGAGUUCACGUUAGGGGAGAAAGUGUUCCAGUGAGCCUGCAGAUCCUGGGCUGUGGCUUUCCCUUCCUCUGGGAGCAGGAAUCGUCUGGAAUUGUUCCUGUUGGAGUAACGUGAGCUGGCCAGAGGUUUUAUAUUCAGAUUGGUACCAGCAGCAACAACCUUGAAGAGUUGCAUAGAAAAUCAAACAUGGAUACAUGUCUUAAAUAAUUUCGUGCUUGGUACAGCAAUUUGCUGAUCAGUAAAGUUGCAGCUCCUACUCUACCUUUUUUCUACUAAGAAAAUCCAUAUUAAAAAUGUUCAUCUUACUUGAAAGGACAUGUCUGGAUGUUCUGGUGGUGCUUCUUGAGGACUGUAAGCUGGCAGAGAGGUCUGGAAGUCUCAUCUGGCAUGGAAGUUUGUCUUGGAAGACACUAAAAGACUUGGUCCUCAUCAGUGAAAGGUGUUUGUGUCUCCCAUGAAGUUCUGGCCACACAGGCAGCCCAAAUGUAGGCUCUGUUAAACUCUGGGUCCAAAGAGCUUCUCCCUUUUUUCCAAGGCACGUAUUUCUCCUCUUGAUCAAAAUGCCACCUCUUAGUGACCUCCUGGGUCUGCAAGUUCUGUAGAAAACCUCACUGAGCCCUGCAGCAAACCAGGUGUGAAUGUCAGCUUUAAAGAGAGGAAUGAGCUCAGGCUCAGAGGGAAACACUCCUGAUGGAGCAGAGGAGAAUGAACUCCUUUGGCAGAGUCCUGGGAGACGCCCAUGCUCAGCGAGAGGAGGGAGCUCGGGGAGAAUCAAUCUGCUGAGGAGGAGAGGGCAAUUCUGCUUUCUGUCCAAGAUUAAUAGCUCAGUAACCUCGGUGGGAAGCCUGACAGGUACAACCACAGCAGCAGGAAACUCCAGCACAGGCACUGUGCUUUUGAGCAUUAUUCUCUCAUCCCUCAGCCUUCCCAAGCAGAGCCUCCUGCCUUACAAACUGGAGUUGCUGUGCUUGGAGUGAGAUCCAGCGCUGGAUCCAGCCCCAGCCACCCCCACACCAACCCCUCCAGCCCCACAGCUUUUGCUGGGAGUGGUAGCAGGUCCUCAGACUGCAAAUCCUCCAAGGCAGAAUGCCAGCUGUGCUUUUGGGUAACAGACUCAGAAGCACCAAAGUGACUUAGAUGCUGAAGUCCCCAGCAAUCCUGACUGCUGUGCAUUCUCUAAAUUGCUUUGACUUUCAGAAAGACUGGGGCUAUUCAGAUGUUUAUUCCCCUUCUAAAAACAUUCCUACUGGUGUUUAACAAAUAUAGUGUAUUGCCUCUUUGGGAUGUUGGAGUGAGUUAACAGCCCAGUUCCCUCGAGUCAGGCAGAGGAGAACUGAAGACCCAUCCCUUGCUGGCAGAAAAUGUGAAACUUCCUUGUUCAAAUGACUGUUUCCUAUUUUAAUUUUGUUUUACUCCUCACCCUUCUAACACUUUUAAUUUGGUUGGGGAAGAGAGGAGAAUGGCAUUUUCUUUCCCACUUAUUGUAGAAAAUGGGGGAUGGAGACCAGCUUUCUUGAACUCUUAUAUUCAAAAUAGCUAUAAAUAAUUAGUUACAGGGACCUAGCUUUCCCCUCCUUUUAAGGGCUAAUUUAAGUUCUUUAUCAAAAUGAUUUAAAAUGCCUUUCCCAGUGGGAAACUAUAUUUCAGAGCUUUUAUUUAUUAGACUUCUCAAAAAGUGUGUUUUUAAUGCACAUCCUGACUUUGUGCCAAAACUCUCCACUGUAACAUUGGGAUUGGAGCAACCCUUUGUAUAGGGAGUUAUAUUUAUUGGAUUUUUACAUAUUGAUACAGAGCAAUUAAUCUAAAUAAAUCAUACACAGAAUUGGCACAUAAAUCUCCCAGUCUUCACUGCCCACAGUAGUAUAUUAUUGUCCUGACAACCUUCCCUCAAACACAGAAAAACUUUCCUCUUGCUCUCUUGCUGUAUUUUUUUUACUUAGGUCUUCUAAAGUGUCAAUGAUUUUCUGGGGCUGAGUAGCUUGGUUGUUGUUGCUGUGAGCUGUAGUUUGGGUUGUAGAUUUUGUUUUAUGAUGUUGGGGCAGGACAACAUCACUGCAUUUUAAAGGAGGACAAAGCCUCAAACUCUGCAAGAUGUGUGAGGAUCAUGACAUGGUAAGCAAAGGCAGAUUUCAUGGUAGAUGGUUGAAUAUCUAAAUAUUUUAGCAUUAUGAGCCCGUUAUGGCACUGAGAGGAGGUUUCUUUCUGUUGGUUUAAAAGGUGCAGUGUCUCUUGUGCUGGAUGGCUGCUUUGAGGAGUGCAGUUUCCUUCAGCAGUUUCAGGGCUCCCAAACUAAGUGUGUGUGUUUGUAGGCUGGACUCCUCCUUUCUGGGACACCCUCUGCCCCCUCCCAAAUUGUUUCCUGCUUUCUGAGCAGAAGCUGCAUAUGAGACAGCCUGGCCUCAUUUUUUAAGGAAAUACAAAACCAUAAGCCAGGUCAUGGAUGGUACAAUUCAGUGUGACCCUCUGGCAGUUCACACCAGUGGAAGAUCUGCCGGGCUGUCUUUUGAAUCCCUGCCAUCACAAAUCCCAGGGAUGUGACAGCCUUCUCAAAAAACUCCAGUUCAGUCUUUCCCAGUGAAGGGUUAAGAGCUGUGGCUUUCCAAAGGGAUUCUGUAGUACUGGGCCCAUCACUCCAGAAGGCUCUGGUCUUUCUGACAAAGGGGCUCUGACAUCCAGGCAGUACUCUUGAAAGUUCAGAGUUUGGAAAGUCAGAGCUCUGUAAGAAAUCAUUACAAUAAAAGGUAGAACAGAUUCCAGCAAGUGUUCAAUCACCCAGCGUGGUGCCACUUAGAGGCAGAAGACCUUAAAACAGCCAGCAAGAUGCCUGCAGAAGAAGCCUCUGUGCCAGCUCUGGCACUCUGUGCCUGUCAUUCCACUCUGUGCCUGUCAUUCCACGCCUUUCAUCCCAGUUCCAUAAUACAGAUGAGAUUUCAGUGACUAGUCCUGGAUUCUGCAUUAAACCACUUUAACAUGUUUGUAGACCUGAGGAACUCGGCAAAUACUAUGAAGGAAAUGCCCUGAGCUUCAUCUUUCUGCUUUGAACUGAGCACAGUGAACUUUGCCUGGUUGCUGAGCUGACACGUGAACAACCCAUUUGCAAUUCAUAGAGAGAGCUCGAGCACAAGGGGGCCUGAUCCUGCUUUUACCAAAGCCAAAGGAAAUCCUACUGCUGACUGCAGCAAAACCAGCAGCAAAAUCAUAACGACUAUUUAAAAUGAUAUUUCACAAGUACAGUAAUGUGACAAUCAUGAUAAAGUGGUGGUUUUUCCAGAGGCACCAUCUGAAUUAAUAGGUCUUUCCAACUAGCUCUCCUUGGAAUGGGUUGCAAGAGGCAGAUGCAGACAAGGGAAAAAAAAAGACUUUUUGCUCUUUUUGCUUCAGGUGUAUAUAAAGCUUUACAGCUUCACUUCCAAAAGGACUCUCCAGGAGUGAGCUUCCCAAGUUACAUGCCUCAUUCCCUCCUCCCAGAAGUGCACCCUAAAUAAUUUGGGUCCCGACUAUUAGAAAUCAUCAUGUGAAGCCCACUGAAUGGACAGGAAGAUUUUCAGUGAUUCAUCUGUUUUCAAUUACGCCCCUAAGAGCACUCCUGCCCUUUCUUCCUGCUUGUAAUAGCUGGAGAAGUCAUUAGAUCUGCUGGGGCUCUGGAUGGUCUGCCACCAAUUUCUGGAGACUUGGAUCAAUGCUCUUUGACUCAGUUUCUCUGUCUGACCUUUAAUAUGGGCAAGGAGUCUCCAGGGUAUGGAAGGUUUUCACCUGAGAUGGAAGCUGCUGCUCCCUGGCGACACCACAACUGCUGUCAGUGAUGGUAGAGCUGAACCUGCAGAUGUGAAAUACAGCUGGCAUUUCUGAUUUCCAUGUCAUCCCAACUCCAGGUAAGGAAAUAGAGCUAAUUUUGGGACAAGCCCACCACAUUCAGUCUUCUUAACCUUCAGUCUGGAUAACUGCAAAGAUGAACAGAAGAAUUUUAUGCAUAACAUUUUAACUUGGCUUGAUGUGCUUCCCAGUAGCAUGUAAAUAAACUGCCUGAUUCGGAGCACUCUGUUCCUGACAUAUAACCCACUGCUCAUUUAGCAGAUUUAAUUUUGCAGGCUUUGUGCAUUUUUUAUGUGACAAUGAUGAUGUGAGGAGGCAUGUCUUUAUCACAGAAAGCCAACAGCACAGACUCUUUUUUUACAAAAGGCCCUUCUUGCUGCUCCUUGGGAGCAGGAGCCCAAGAUAAUUCUAGCACAGGGUGAGCCAUCUGUGACAUGGGGCAGCUUUACUUGCAAACUUUAUAACUUUUAAUUGCUGCUGUAUUUCCUGGCACUGUCAAGUAAUAAUGUCAGUGGAUACCAAACCUUAAGUACAUAGGACUCAAUUAUGAUCCUGCAGAACACAGAGGCUGCUCAAAUCCAGUCCAGACUGUGAACUCACAAUCUGCUGUUUACUUAAAGUAUAGAGAAAGCACUUGACCUCUUCUCAGUGGCAUCCAUGUGGAAACACUCGACAAUAGAGGCCUUCCUUGGUUUUCUUAGGAAUCACAUUUCAACAUUUUUAUCUCCUCUAAUUAAGGUCAAUGGUCACACACUCCCACUUCUCUCCUCACCCCACUCUUCCAAAAUUGCCCUUACCCAGCUCCAGUUACCCUGGAUGAAACAAACUGGGCCCAAUUUGUGCUCGCACAGUUCCAGGGGGAAUGAGGAGAGUCCUGGAGAUUUGAGGCUGUGCUGAGCCCAGAGCUGUGUCUGAGCUCUGGUGCUCACGUGCCCGUCCACCACGACGAGCAGCAGAGCCUGAUAGCCAGAAGCAAACAGUAGGCGGGGGGUAGGAUUGCUGUGAAUGCAAUUCCACUAUGAGAACAUCUCCUAACCCGCGGCACAUGUUCCCACCCGGUGGGGAAGGUGUGAGCGAGCUCUGAAGGAGGACGGCGAGAGCGAAUCUCAUCUCCCUUUGCAACGCUGCAAGUGCUAAUUGCAGGCGGGGAGGAAGGGUGUAGCUGGUAGACGUCUCAAGCCUGAGGAGCACAGCACCAGGACUCCUGUUGUCGUUGUGGAAGGAACCCAGGAGUGCUUCACAUCCCAGCAUCCCUGGCAGGAUUCACUUCGGCACUGCUGUGCUUUGUCUGCAGCCCUGGCUGCCUCGCCUUGAAAACCCUCAGCAUUCUCAGCAGGGCAUUUCCCAGGAAUGAGAAUGAUCCAGCCAAGGCCAUCGUGUCAGGAUGCAAAGGGUACCUGCUAGCCCACCUCAAGGCUGAAAGAGCACAUCCCACCAAAUCAGGGGCUUGUGGGGACUGGAUUUAUCAUUAGAAAACCCCAGCACCUUUUCAGAGCAGUAUACAUCCUGCUUAGUAAUUACCUUUCCAUACUAAAAAGAUUAUUUCUUUUCAUUAUUUUUGUUGUGUAGGUGGCAGCUAUGAAUGGUUAACAGUGGAAGGCAGAAGUUGGUGAAAUAAAACUCUGUGCUUCUAGAAGUCAUUUCACAUAUGUAAAAACAAAAGUGGGCUAGCCAGCUGCAGACCUUGGCAUUACUUAGGCUUGUGCCUGAUGCAUUGCACCCUUUCCCUUUAAACUGACUUGCUCUCAUUUCUCACACAGAGCAGAAUAUCACUUCCAGAAAAGAAAAGAGCUAAUGCUGUCCUUUUCCUUUUAUAUAAAAAAAAGAAAGAAAACCAGAACAAAACUAACAGAGUUGUGCCCUAAGUGAGAUUGUCUUGACCCUUUGCAAAGCCAGAUCCUCAGAGCCUCUGUCAGCACACGCUUCCAGCAUAACUCUGCUCAUGCUGAGCUCAGCCGUGGGUGCAGGAUCAGGGCACCUGUUCUCUGUAGAGAAUAACUACCCAAAAACAUGAUUUUUUUUUUCUCCCUCUGUACUGUUUUUUUUUAAGCUGAAAAAUGUGUGUUUUGUUCUAAGAGAGGAGUAGGGCAGGCUGUGGUGCUGAGCAGCGCCAUGGGUUCCUCACCCCAGCGCUGUGGGGACUGCAUCCAUAGUUUCCAGGCAUCAGGGAGAUGUGUUAGAGCCAUCCAACAUCCCAGAGAGAUGGAUUUUUCAUGUAAAAGUGGAAAGCUAUUAGCUCCCAAAAUGUUCUCUUGGCAGCAGUAGGGCAGUAAGUGCUGCUACAGGGAAGGCAAGUGCUGGGCCAGCAUAGUCCUACAGAAGGUUUUGUGUUUUCAUAUAUUGAAGAAUAAUGUAAUAAAAACCAAGGACUUUUAUUCCUGAAAGAGCUCAGUCACUCAUGCCACAAGGAAGAUUACGUUUAAUUAAAUAUUGAACCCCUUUAUAUAUCUGUACCAGGCUCUGAAUCACACUCCCUCUCCUUACAGCCAGAGGACAUUCCCACAUCUUCAAAGAUUUUACAAAUGAAGUUAGUUGAGAGUUUCAUUUCCCCUGGAACUGAAAUUGAGCUACUUUGGAGAUAGAAACCAGCAACUCUUGAAAAUCCCUCUUUCAGCAGAGCAGGCCAGGAAGAGAAAAAAUAUACAGUAUCCCAGAAGUGAGCCACAGGAUGACUUUUUAAUAGCAGAAAAACUAUAUUAUUAUUUAAUAACAGCUUUGCUGUGUUGGGGGGAAGGUUACACCUCUUCCACUGAGUCCUUGCACUUCAGUUACUCCUUGUUUGAUUCCUGCAACACUUUCCUGACUCCUUUUUGGAGAAAUUUUCAUAUUCCUGCUAAAAUUUAGUCACUGGGGACUGCUUAGACAUUCUCAGACCCCCCUCCUUGGAUUUAAACUCCAUCUUUUUUGCGAGUGUGCUGUGAGUUUUCUUCAUUGCUGGGAUAUGUGUUAUCUUGCUCAAUUGCAUUUAAUUUGGUCUCAAUUUGCAUAUUCGCGUCCUGGGCUGAAUCCGUCAAGAUUUUCCCAUGACACAUUUUGCCUCUGCUGUUCCCAUGACACAUGUUCCUUCUGCUGUGGCAAGAUCUACUCUGUGGAUUCAUCUUUUCUCCUGAGAAAAGUGAGGCUGUUUCUCCGAGGUUCAGGUUCUCACCGUUCGGAUUUUCCGUGCCUUCCCCGGAUCUGCGGCGAUGUCAGUUCACACACGAUCUUCCUCAGUUCAGCAGGGAUGAAACUCAGAACCCUUUCUCACUUCAGUCUCUCAGCUGGCUUUUGAGCAAAAGCCUGUGGUUUGUGCCCUGUCAUCUGGUUUGCUGUUGGGUGUUUGGGGCUUGCUUGAAGCCAUUUCUGCAAUCAAAAGAACUCGGUUUUAAAUACCAGCCAAAGGCUGGGCACGUGUGUGCAGCACUAGGACCCCUUUUCAAAGAGCACCUUUGGGUGAAUCACUUGACCUGGCUUUGCCUCAGUUCUCCAUGUAGAACAGAGGAAAAUAAUAUUAAUGCAAGUCUAACUUUCUUCAGAUACUGCGAGGCUCAGUGCACGACCAGAGGUGAUGUUCUCGGGUAUUACAGUAAUAGGGGUCACAGGAGCUAGAUGGAAAAGUAAAGCAGAAGCUAGUUAAGACUUUCUCAGCUGCAAAGGAUUAGUGUUCAUUUUAAAAUCUCUGGCUCUUGGCAAAUUGGGACACUUACUAACCUGUAGCUUAGGAAAAAAGAAAAAAAAAAAAAAAGCCAAAGCAGCUGAAACAAGGGUGUUAGCAAGUCUGGCAGCACAGCAGCACAGUGCACCUUAUCUCUAUCCUGGUGGAAAAUCAAAGGCACAUUUCCAGCUGUGCCCGUGAGCACUGUUUGGUCACUGAACAAAGCAACUGGCACCUCGUAUCCAACCUACAGAAUGAUCACAGCCUGCUUCAGGUGCACAAACAAGUGCAGAAAUGAGCUCCAUGCACAGAACUCAUUGUUAUUCAAUCAAGCCUUUAAUUGUAAAUGUUUUAAGCAAGGAAUUCUCUGUUUUAUGAAAGUGUGCUCAGCAUUACUCCGCCGCAGACAUCUGUCAUUCAGCAGGCGCCACCCAAUAAAAGUGCUUAAAAUGUUCUGUUCCUCAAUUAAAAUAUAAACCAGAGCUGUUUAA